This 528-nucleotide small RNA is filed under the name Pongo abelii (Sumatran orangutan). RNAcentral's name for it is "retained intron". The record is from RNAcentral. Lineage: Eukaryota; Metazoa; Chordata; Mammalia; Primates; Hominidae.
ACUUCCGGAGCUGCGGGGACGACUCUUCUGGAGGAAGCAGCGCGGGCUUGACCGGCGUCGGCCCGCCGCCUCUGCUGCCGCUUCGCCCCAAUCCGGUCCCUCUGGCCCGGCCUGACCCGGUCUGGCUUGUUCGGGCUCAGCGGCCGCGAGGCCGCAGCUCCCGAUUGAGUCUCGCUCUGUUGCCCAGGCUGGAGUGCAGUGGUGCAAUCUCUGCUCACUGCAACCUCCGUCUCCCGAGAUUAAGCAGUUCUCCUGCCUCAGCCUCCUGAGUAGCUGGGAUUACAGGUGCAUGCCACCACGCCCAGCUAAUUUUUGUAUUGUUAGUAGAGAUGGGGUUUCACGUGUUAGCCAGGAUGGUCUCGAUCUCCUGACCUCGUGAUCUGCCUGCUUCGGCCUCCCAAAGUGCUGGGAUUACAGGUGUGAGCCACUGUGCCCAGCCUAAUUUUUGUAUUUUUAGUAGAGAUGGGAUUUUGCCAUGUUGGCUAGGCUGGUCUCAAUCUCCUGGCCUCAGGUGAUCUGGCCACCUGG